CCGGGAACCACGGUAACUCAAAAGAAAAGGGGGAUGCAGGUUCUGGACAGGAGAGCGCUGAGGGCCGGGAAGGUUGUCUCAGGAGCCGGAACCGGAAUGGGGUGCAUUGAGUCCCAGAGAACGACAGAGCAGCGCCAAAUAACAACAGCAGAAACAUGCAGAGACUACUGCCAUCAAGACAUUGUGUGGUACUUCUUUUUCUAAACAAAAAUGAGGUGCAGUGCAAACUGCCAGGUUAAGUUAGCAUAUACAUCAACAACAACUAUGCACAGCCAUUUGAAGGCGAGGUAUCCAGCAGAAAGUGGGGUGUGGUCCGUAGAUCAACAGUCAGUGUCUAGCUCUGUCACCCGGAAAAGGAAGUUCAAUGAUCGACAUGCAGAGCAGUCAGCGGCCUUCAUCACAGAGAUGAUAGCAAAGGACAUGCUGCCCAUUAGCUUUGUUGAGGUGGAGGGUUUUCUAAUUCUGGUGGCAUUUGUUCAGCGAGUAUAUGGUCCCAUCAAGAAAAAUGGUCACAGCUCUACUGGAUGAACUGUAUGAUGAGAGAGCGACAGUUGAAUCCGACGAAACUGAGCUGUUAGUCAAGAAAACCAAUUGACAAUGACUGCCAUUUUGGUCCUGUUU
This is a long non-coding RNA of Monopterus albus (swamp eel), 621 nucleotides long. RefSeq lists it as uncharacterized. The transcript has 3 exons. NCBI's taxonomy places the organism in Eukaryota, Metazoa, Chordata, Actinopteri, Synbranchiformes, Synbranchidae. The record is from RefSeq and is a predicted model, not a curated record.